UUAUGGAGAAGGGCUGUUGCUAAUGCUAAAAGCAUUGGACACCUUCUUUUUGCCCGAUUACUGAGGCUGCAAGAAAGUUCGCAAGGGGAACAUCCUCCCCCAGAAGAUGAAGGCGGUGAGCCUGAACACACCUGGCUGACUGAGAUGCUCGAGAAUUGGACCAGGACCUCCCUGGAAAAGCAGGAGCAGCCCCAUGAGGACCCCGAAAGGAAAGGUACCAUGUGUAGUGUGAUAAGUGUCAUCAACAGUAAGUGCCACCAACCUUCUCCCCCCUCUUGCUCUUCCCCAACCCUAUGGGCCAGUCCUGCAGGGGACAUGACAAGAUGUCCCACUGGUACAGUUUGGAUGUUUGUUCCCUUCCACAUCUCAUGUUGGAUGUAAUCCCCCAAUGUAAAUUAGUUCAACCAUUGUAGGAGACAGUGUGGAAUUCCUCAAGGAUCUAGAUCCAGAAAUACUAUUUGACCCAGCAAUCCCAUUACUGGGUAUAUGCCCAAAGGAAUAUAAAUCAUUCUGUUAGAAAGAUACAGGCACGUGUAUGUUCA
This 542-nucleotide small RNA is filed under the name Pan troglodytes (chimpanzee). RNAcentral describes it as "retained intron". Lineage: Eukaryota; Metazoa; Chordata; Mammalia; Primates; Hominidae. The record is from RNAcentral.